Molecule: ribosomal RNA, 253 nt
Filed under: uncultured bacterium
Lineage: Bacteria
Description: partial 16S ribosomal RNA
Rfam family: Bacterial small subunit ribosomal RNA
Source: RNAcentral
UACGGAGGGUGCGAGCGUUAUCCGGAUUCACUGGGUUUAAAGGGUGCGUAGGUGGGUUGGUAAGUCCGGGGUGAAAUCUCCGAGCUUAACUCGGAAACUGCCGUGGAUACUAUCAAUCUUGAAUACUGUGGAGGUAAGCGGAAUAUGUCAUGUAGCGGUGAAAUGCUUAGAUAUGACAUAGAACACCGAUAGCGGAGGCAGCUUGCUACACAGUCAUUGACACUGAGGCACGAAAGCGUGGGGAGCAAACAGG